RNAcentral lists this long non-coding RNA (2348 nucleotides) under Helianthus annuus (common sunflower). The record is from RNAcentral. Lineage: Eukaryota; Viridiplantae; Streptophyta; Magnoliopsida; Asterales; Asteraceae.
CCUUCUCUCUCACAACUCAGAUGUCUCACAAAACUCCAGAUCCUCUCUCUCUCUCUCGCUCUACGACUCAAGAACAUCAUGCCAGAUCUCUCAUCAGAUGCCGUUUCAUGACAAGAUCGUUGAAGUGGUUCCGACACCUGAGCUCUGGUGGAGGAGACUAGGGUUUCGGCGAAGAUAAAGCCAUCGGAGGCUGAACCACCGGUGCAGGGUUUCUUUACCAGUCGCUUCAAGAUAUACGCUUCCUCAGCGAUGAAUCUCUCUAGAUCCAACACGAGAUCGACUGAUCUGUCGUUGAGUUGUUCGUGUUAGGGUGCACCGGAAUAACCAGAUGUGUAUCAUCUGGAAUGAACAAGCUGGAUAACCAGUCGAUCUCUACAAAAUUUCAGUAAGAAAAUCGCGGGGUCCACCAAGGAGACUAUGAAACUACGCUCACUGACUCUAUAUCGCGAGGACCCCGAAGCAAACGGUGUGUCUAGCUGAUAUUUAACAGUGUGGUAAAGUGGGAUAGCACGAAAAUAAAAAAAAGGUAUUUGUUGCAUCCAACAUUUGCACACGGAAGUACUCUGGUCUUAUACGAGGUCCUGACCGGAAAGCGUUACAUUUGUGACAUUAUUACUGAUUCUGUGGUUCUUGGUUUCUUCAUUGAAGCCGAAAAGAUACUCUCAGUGCUCGGAAUCGAUGAUGCAGUUGAUGACUUUUUGUGGCAGGAAAUCUCAAUCAUACUCUCGAAACUCUUGGUCCCGCAGUCCCGCAAAUCUUUGAGAAAACGGCGAUGCAUGACCUACGGACUCUUGUGGCAGAAAGAUCAACUAUGAACACAUAUAUAAGCGGAGAGAGUUUUGAGAUAUGAUCGGUCUGUUAUUAGAAGGAUUCAUUAAAACGCAGGGUACGUUAGAACUUAUUACUGCACCAGCUGCACUAUUCCCGUCAUACGGCAACCGCAGUUUCCGAGUGUCAGAAAUAGUAGCAGCCGGAAGCUUUUGUCACCAUGCAACCUCGUACGUAGUUGAGACAAGGUCAUGGGUGAUGAUGUUUGAGAUUAGUGGAUUUGAAGGAACAGGAACCCUUCAGAGCAGGGUGUCUUCGUUAAUAUCACAUGGCGGGGCGGGGGAAAACCCGUCCUCGGCCCGGGAACAUAGCGGUCUAAUGAGUUGGCAACAGGGCUCUUUUAAGAGAGAGUUUCUCUCAUCUCCAUACCGAUGUUCAAGGAAUUGAAACAAAGACAUUAUCAAUUAUGGUUUUUCAAUUUGUUUUUUGCAAGAAAUAUUAAAACCGUUCUGAUUCCUUGAAUGCAGAGUUGCACUUAGGGUUUUUCAAUGCUUUUGUCUUGCAGAUUUAGAUUUCAUCUCAUCAGAUGUGGGUUCCUCUGAUGUUAUCCUUUUUUUUGUGGGAGAAAGAGGGAGCUGGAGAGAAGAAUGGGCAGAGGAGUGAGAGAAUGGAAGAUGGGAGCCGGCCAAGAUGCCGAUGGUGGAUGGUAUUAGUGUCGGAAGAUGGAUGGGUCGGUAACCAUCGUAAACCCCGACGGCGGCGCUAGAGGUUCGCGAUAACCACAGACUUCCGGCGAACACAAUGGUGAAGACAGAGAGACGCUAACUUUUUAGAUCCUUCGGCGGCUGCAGGUAAGUCUCGCGGUGACUACACCAACGAACGAAGGUACCGGAUCUUGUGGAUCUGGUGUUGACGGCGUCUCGGGUUCCGCAAUAGGCGGCAGAGACAGCUGCUAUGUGGUUGUACUGACCUUACUAGAAAAGAACCGUCAUGGUACUUGUGACGGUGGCAUAUGAACGGGGAUGGAUUCAGAUUGCAAACUCAUAAAUCUUCCCUCUAAGCCUCUCUCUCCAGGUCAAGCUGGGAGGAGAUCUUUUCAAGAUAAAUGGGAGGCUCCUACAAUCCUCCACGUCUAGCUGAGCCAGUGCCUGAACCGGCUAAAGCGGAGGGGUGCGCUUCUGAACCAGCAACAGAAAACAGUCAGGUUAAAACAACAUAACUGAUUACCUGUUCACACCUGGAGGAUUUUCAUGCCUUUAUAUGGCUCAACCUUUAAAAAAAUUUCCCAUGAGGCGCCUUCUUUUCAUCCAUAAGUGGUUUGCCGGCCUGCGUUUCUUCCGCGCAACAACACAUGCUUGACAUAAUUUUUUGUUUCUGUUUUUUCCUUUUUUUUUCUUUUUUUUGUUGGGCUUAAAUUCUAUUUGGUGCUUGACAUAUUUAGUUUUAUACAUUGUUUAUAUAUAAUUUUGAGAUGGUAUUAAACUUGUAAUGGAUAUGGAAACAACGAUGAAUCUUGUUCAUAUUGGUUUGGGCAUGUGACUGACCUGAGUAUGAAUCUCACAACUGAUCUUUUUUAGCAA